AAACUCAAAGGAAUUGACGGGGGCCCGCACAAGCAGCGGAGCGUGUGGUUUAAUUCGUUGCUACACGAAGACCUUACCUGGGUUUGACAUAUAGGUUGUAGGGAACUGAAAAGGGACCGACCCUUCGGGAGCCUAUACAGGUGUUGCAUGGCUGUCGUCAGCUCGUGUCGUGAGAUGUUCGGUUAAGUCCGCUAACGAGCGCAACCCUCGUCGUAUGUUAUAUGUGUCAUACGAGACUGCCGGUAAAAGCCGGAGGAAGGUGAGGAUGAUGUCAAGUCAGCAUGACCUUUAUAUCCAGGGCUACACACACGCUACAAUGGUCUGUACAAUGGGUAGCCAAGCCGCGAGGCGGAGCCAAUCCUGAAAGCAGGCCUCAGUUCAGAUUGCAGUCUGCAACUCGACUGCAUGAAGCCGGAGUUGCUAGUAACCGCAGGUCAGCAAUACUGCGGUGAAUACGUUCCCGGGUCUU
Molecule: ribosomal RNA, 469 nt
Filed under: uncultured Anaerolineaceae bacterium
Lineage: Bacteria; Bacillati; Chloroflexota; Anaerolineae; Anaerolineales; Anaerolineaceae
Description: bacterial SSU rRNA
Rfam family: Bacterial small subunit ribosomal RNA
Source: RNAcentral